AAGUCGUAACAAGGUUUCCGUAGGUGAACCUGCGGAAGGAUCAUUAACAAAUUCUUCAACACUGACGUCCCAUCCAGUGUGUGUCUGUGUCUGUGUGUCUGUGGUUGAGUGUGUUUGGUCAGGUGAUCUCAUCAUGUCAAGUGAAAAGGAUCUCCUGAACAAGCACACACGCAAGCACACACAUAAACACAACACGCGCACACACAUUGGAUGGUGUACUCACUCACACACAUCUUGAUGGACAACACCUAGUGAUUCAUAUUACAAAAUGUAUAGACAACUUUUAACAAUGGAUCUCUUGGCUCUU
This 307-nucleotide unclassified non-coding RNA is filed under the name fungal sp. Its description in RNAcentral is "partial internal transcribed spacer region". The stretch from base 1 to 46 matches the Rfam family "Eukaryotic small subunit ribosomal RNA", at positions 1786 to 1831 of the family's 1831-position model. Lineage: Eukaryota; Fungi. The record is from RNAcentral.